UACGGAGGGGACUAGCGUUGCUCGGAAUUACUGGGCGUAAAGGGCGCGUAGGCGGAUAUUUAAGUCGGGGGUGAAAGCCCAGGGCUCAACCCUGGAAUUGCCUUCGAUACUGGAUAUCUUGAGUUCGGGAGAGGUGAGUGGAAUGCCGAGUGUAGAGGUGAAAUUCGUAGAUAUUCGGCGGAACACCAGUGGCGAAGGCGACUCACUGGCCCGAUACUGACGCUGAGGCGCGAAAGCGUGGGGAGCAAACAGG
This 253-nucleotide ribosomal RNA is filed under the name uncultured bacterium. RNAcentral's name for it is "partial 16S ribosomal RNA". It matches the Rfam family "Bacterial small subunit ribosomal RNA", at positions 524 to 776 of the family's 1533-position model. The record is from RNAcentral.